Molecule: small RNA, 17 nt
Filed under: Arabidopsis thaliana (thale cress)
Lineage: Eukaryota; Viridiplantae; Streptophyta; Magnoliopsida; Brassicales; Brassicaceae
Description: ATSL013160
Source: RNAcentral
UUCUUGAUCUUUGCUAU